Molecule: ribosomal RNA, 405 nt
Filed under: Salmonella enterica
Lineage: Bacteria; Pseudomonadati; Pseudomonadota; Gammaproteobacteria; Enterobacterales; Enterobacteriaceae
Description: partial 23S ribosomal RNA
Rfam family: Bacterial large subunit ribosomal RNA
Source: RNAcentral
GGUUAAGCGACUAAGCGUACACGGUGGAUGCCCUGGCAGUCAGAGGCGAUGAAGGGCGUGCUAAUCUGCGAUAAGCGCCGGUAAGGUGAUAUGAACCGUUAUAACCGGCGAUACCCGAAUGGGGAAACCCAGUGUGAUUCGUCACACUAUCAUUAACUGAAUCCAUAGGUUAAUGAGGCGAACCGGGGGAACUGAAACAUCUAAGUACCCCGAGGAAAAGAAAUCAACCGAGAUUCCCCCAGUAGCGGCGAGCGAACGGGGAGGAGCCCAGAGCCUGAAUCAGCAUGUGUGUUAGUGGAAGCGUCUGGAAAGGCGCGCGAUACAGGGUGACAGCCCCGUACACAAAAGCGCAUGUGCUGUGAGCUCGAUGAGUAGGGCGGGACACGUGAGUAGGGCGGGACACGU